This 421-nucleotide ribosomal RNA is filed under the name uncultured bacterium. Its description in RNAcentral is "bacterial SSU rRNA". It matches the Rfam family "Bacterial small subunit ribosomal RNA", at positions 355 to 773 of the family's 1533-position model. The record is from RNAcentral.
UAAGGAAUAUUGGACAAUGGAGGCAACUCUGAUCCAGCCAUGCCGCGUGAAGGAAUAAGGCCCUAUGGGUUGUAAACUUCUUUUAGACGGGACAAAACCCCUUUACGUGUAAAGGGUUGAUGGUACUGUCAGAAUAAGCAUCGGCUAACUUCGUGCCAGCAGCCGCGGUAAUACGAAGGAUGCAAGCGUUAUCCGGAAUUAUUGGGUUUAAAGGGUGCGUAGGCGGACUAAUAAGUCAGUAGUGAAAGCCUGCAGCCUAACUGCAGAAUUGCCAUUGAUACUGUUAGUCUUGAGUACAGUUGAGGUAGGCGGAAUGUGUCAUGUAGCGGUGAAAUGCUUAGAUAUGACACAGAACACCGAUUGCGAAGGCAGCUUGCUAAGCUGUAACUGACGCUGAGGCACGAAAGCGUGGGGAGCAAAC